AAAUAAUCAGUCAUAAAAGGUGCAUAGUAUGUGAUUCCACUUAUCUGUGGGAUCUAGAGUAAUGAAAUCCAUAGAAACCGAAAGUAGGGUAGCAGUGGCCAGGGACUGAGGGAGGGUGGUAUGGGAAUUAAUAAAUAAGUAAACAGUUUUUUAAAUUUCAAUAUUAUAUUUCAACAUAUACAUUUUACGAUAAUUUCCAUUCAAGACAAUGAAUACAUUCAAGUACACGUGCAAAGCCCUGAGCAUGAAGGACUUGGUAGACAAUUAUUAUUUCAGUAAAUGUCAUCUGUUUUAUUUUAUUAUUACAAUAUUCCAGAAAGUCAAAAGAGCAAUUUGAAAUGUCUUUUCAAUGGGCUCAUGAGUAUGUUCGUGAGUGAAUCCAAUGACAUUCUUAUAUUUUCCAAAAUCCCUCAAUGAGAAUUUUUAUUGUUCUAGGAGGAAUCGUUGAUAAAGACCUUCGUCACUACCUCAACUUACGAUUCCAGAAGGGAUCUGUUGACCACGAACUUCAGCAAAUCAUUCGAGACAACCUCUACCUCCGCACUGUGCCAUAAUGUUGACCAUCCUAACGUGGAUAAAGCUUAAAGCCUGUUGGAAUGGUGACCCAGCGAUGGCCACUGUACAAACAGUUAAUGUGGCAACUGCAACUGUGCCAAGAGGAGGUAACUGUAGCAUGGUCCUUCCUGGUUGAUAUUGUGGACCAAAAGCUUAU
This 712-nucleotide long non-coding RNA is filed under the name Fukomys damarensis (Damara mole-rat). Its description in RNAcentral is "lncRNA (ENSFDAG00000021811.1)". The record is from RNAcentral. Lineage: Eukaryota; Metazoa; Chordata; Mammalia; Rodentia; Bathyergidae.